UAGGGAAUCUUCCGCAAUGGGCGAAAGCCUGACGGAGCAACGCCGCGUGAGUGAUGAAGGUCUUCGGAUUGUAAAACUCUUUUAUUAGGGAAGAACAAAUGUGUAAGUAACUAUGCACGUCUUGACGGUACCUAAUCAGAAAGCCACGGCUAACUACGUGCCAGCAGCCGCGGUAAUACGUAGGGGGCAAGCGUUAUCCGGAAUUAUUGGGCGUAAAGCGCGCGCAGGCGGUUUUGUAAGUCUGAUGUGAAAGCCCAGGGCUCAACCGUGGAGGGGCGUUGGAAACUGGAAGACUUGAGUGCAGAAGGGGAAAGGGGAAUUCCAGGUGUAGCGGUGAAAGGCGCAGAGAUAGGGAGGAACACCAGUGGCGAAGGCGACUUUCUGGUCUGUAACUGACGCUGAGGUGCGAAAGCGUGGGGAUCAAACAGG
This 429-nucleotide ribosomal RNA is filed under the name Actinomycetes bacterium. RNAcentral's name for it is "Actinobacteria bacterium partial 16S ribosomal RNA". It matches the Rfam family "Bacterial small subunit ribosomal RNA", at positions 355 to 776 of the family's 1533-position model. The record is from RNAcentral. Lineage: Bacteria; Bacillati; Actinomycetota; Actinomycetes.